GCUGUCGGACUUCGGCUGGUCGCGCCGGAGCCGGUCUUAUAAACCGGUCGUGCAUGGAGUUCGAUUCUCCCCGGCAGCA
RNAcentral lists this transfer RNA (79 nucleotides) under Planctomycetota bacterium. RNAcentral describes it as "tRNA-Ile". Lineage: Bacteria; Pseudomonadati; Planctomycetota. The record is from RNAcentral.